CCAGCCUUCCCCUUUUGCUCAUCAUUCUGGCCUUAUAAAUGUCACGGUAAAGGUGGGUUUUAAAGAAAGAUUUGGAGGAGAGGGGUCCGUUCAGAAAGGGGGAGCCAUGCAUAAGGGGGCCAUGUGGCUGAAUGCAUGCAGAGGUUUGUAUGAGAGUCUGGCAAACAAAUGGAUGAGGCUGGCGCCACCGGUGGAGCAGAGGAAAUGGAGGAAGUGACAUGGACCAGACUGUAGAGAGAGGAAAGGUUGUGAUGCCCUUUUGAAGGUGAGGGCAAGAAGUCUGAAGCUGAUGGAGUGAAACAGAUGGAAUAAUAAUAUGCAGAUGCCAGGCACUGAAGUAUCUAUGGGACUAGAACCCACUUCUCUUCUGAUGUCCGUUGAGCUACUUUAAUCAUUAAACGGUUCUCUCAUGCAUGCAAGCUUAAUUAUGGUCAAGGCUAAAUGCAAGAUUUGCUGUUGGACCCAGAGGAGAAAUCAGACCGGAUAUCACGAUUCUGAAAAACAGACCGCUGCCUGCAGAGAAAUUGUUGCAUGGAGAUUCUAACAAUGUGCCAUAGUGGAAUGCCCAGUGUGACAGAUACUGGGCACGUGAGAGCCUCGCCCCAGAGAUUCUAAAGAGAGAAAUCUGGUUGUCCGAUGACUCUGUGCAGACUUUUGAAGGAUGUAUGAUGGCUUGCUAGCAGAAUGUUUAUUAUCUGAAGAGUUGACGUGAAAUUAUGAAAGAAUCUCACCUCUCCAGUCCAUUGCUAUGAACUGUGGUUCUGGAACAAAGCUCUGGCUCAAAAAUAACGAGACGGUAAAUCACCAGAGUGAGAGUUAAUGGCCACAGCAAUUAGUCUGGGCCCAGCUCCAUACGCUCAGCGAUAUCGACUGAUGCUCCCUUCUAUUUCUGCUGUUCCUGCUAUUACGUCUGCUUCGCCAAACAACACAACCUGCUGAAGUACAUCGUUUCCAGAUCAGCUGCUGGUGCCAACGUCAGCAAAUCAGAGAGAUCACCAAUUCCCAUGCUC
This is a long non-coding RNA of Mauremys reevesii (Reeves's turtle), 1010 nucleotides long. RefSeq lists it as uncharacterized. The record is from RefSeq and is a predicted model, not a curated record. The transcript has 3 exons. Lineage: Eukaryota; Metazoa; Chordata; Testudines; Geoemydidae.